RNAcentral lists this long non-coding RNA (3369 nucleotides) under Gossypium raimondii (Peruvian cotton). RNAcentral describes it as "long non-coding RNA (GRAI_LNC006788)". The record is from RNAcentral. Lineage: Eukaryota; Viridiplantae; Streptophyta; Magnoliopsida; Malvales; Malvaceae.
GAAACAUGGAUUUCUACGACAUUUCCUUAAUUGACGGGUUUAACAUCCCCAUGGUGUUUGGUCCAACUAAUGGCGGUUGUCACAACAUUCGGUGCACAGCAGACCUCAAGGGACAAUGCCCGAAUGAGUUAAGGGCUCCUGGUGGGUGCAAUAACCCAUGCACAGUGUUCAAAACCAAUGAGUAUUGUUGCACUCAAGGGUACGGAACCUGUGGUCCGACCUAUUUCUCAAGGUUUUUCAAGGACCGGUGCCAUGAUUCAUACAGUUAUCCUCAGGAUGAUCCUUCAAGCACCUUUACUUGCCCCGCUGGUUCCAAUUACAGGGUUGUGUUUUGCCCUAGAGGCUCACCCCGCAUAGAGAUGGUCGGAAGCAAGAACCAAGAAAAGUAAAGGGAUGAUCUCUUGGAGUAGUUGAUUUGCAUUUGGGAAUAAAAAAUAAAGAUCAUUUGGUCUUUCGAAAUGAUACUGAACCUAUGGAUGUAUCUGUUUUAUUUUGCAUAUGUUUUGUUUAAUGGAAGAGCAAAAACAAAUAAAUACUAUUUUUUUUGGUGAAUUAUAAUAAUAAGACAAAUUCUGGAUAAUAAACUAUUAUUCAGAUUCAAAUUUAGAUCACAUUUUGGAUGAUGAAUGGCCCAUCACAUGGUUCAAACUGCUUGUAAGUAGAAUGAGACAUUCUGUGGUAGAAACCAACUAAACUCAAGAACAUUACCUCAAAAACGAAUUUAAGGUAAUGUCAUUUUUUAAUGCUUUUAGACUUUCCUCGUCAACUUGAAUUCCUGCUGAACUUAUUAUAAAACCCCAAAAAGAAAAUCUUAUCCAUGCAAUUACCAAAAAGUUGUUCAUGUCCUUCUUUGGUGCGUCGAUGAUCUGGCAAAACCAGGUAAACCUACCUGAUGAAAACCAAUACCAUAACAUCAUUGACCACCUUCAAGACCACCACCGUCCCCCCAGUUAUCUCAUCACUCUCGGUUCGCUCCCUCGAUCGAAACAACGCCUCCAACUACACUCUAUCACAACUCUCUCGCUUUUCAAGCCACACACAUCAUCUUCACCAUCCUUGCCAAAAACCGCCAUCUCCAACCUGAAACGAAUUGGGUGGAGCCAGCACUCAAAAACACCAUGAGCGAACGCACACGAAUCGUCUUUUUUUCAGUUCCCCUUGCGGAAGUCCGGGCAAGCGGAUUGAGAGUAACGGAACUUCCUCGAAUCCCUCCAUUGAGCCUUCUCGCUCGGGUGGGCGUACGGGCACUCGGUCAGUCAUGUGACCUUCCACGCGCACACCUCUUCACCUUGAACUCAUACAUACGAAAAUGGUCGCAUGAGAAUGCAUCGACGAUGGGUACGUCAGAGUCGUCACAAAGGGUGUCGGGCUCGAGAUCGUUCAACGAGAGGUAGCGAAGAUGGGCCAUAAGGUAGUCAACGGGACGGGCUGCAAGGUGCAUUGCAGUUAAAGUCGAGGGUUGAAAAGUUAUCCGCCUGAUCGUUUAACAAUUCCUAGUCGGGGAUUUUGACGGUGGGGAAGGGUCGUGUAGUGAGUUUUUUUAUCAUCAUAUUUUGGAUAUUGUCAGUUCUGCUAUUCUAACUAGGAUAAUGAAGAUGAAUGUGCUUGGUUUCGGGUUGUAGAUGGUGAAGAUGAUGCGUGGGGCUUGACAACAGAGAGGGUUGUGACAGAGUGUAGUUGAAGGCUUGGUUUCAAUCGAAAGAGCGAGUCCGGAGUGAUGAGAUUACUAGGGGGACGGUGGUGAUCCUGAGGGUGAUUAAUGGUGUCAUGGUAUUGGUUUUUAGUAGGUAGGUUGACUUGGUUUUGCCAGAUCAUCGGCACACCAAUUAAGGAGAAGAAAGAAAGAAAUAAUAAAGAAUGAAAGAAAAGGAAAAACAGACAGAAAAGAUAAUAAUAAAAGAAAUAUAAUAAUAUGGUGGGAUCUACUAACGAAAAUUAAUCUCAUGUCACUGUGCCGUUUGAUACUUAAUCGCACGGUGGCUAUGAAAACAAUUUCUUAAAAUUUAGGGUGAGUUUAGAUAAGCGGUGCGUUUACUUGCGGUUAGUGUAAAAAUAGCGGUGGCGGUAAGAUUAGAUACUGUAGCAAUACUGUAGUGUGAGACAAAAAGUAAACUAAACACACCGUACCGCAUCGCAUCCAAUUGUUCAUCCAAACUCGCCCUUAAUAAUGAGUUGGAUGAUUAAAGAAGCAUUAAAAAUUUAGUUACUAAUUAGAUAAUUUAUUCAAAUAAUAAUAUGUGAAUAUUUUAAUAUAUUGUAUUAAAACAGUUAUAUUUUUAAAGGGAAAUAUAAAUUCAAAUUUUAUGAACUACGAUAUGAUAAAUACGUAAAAUCGGUUAUGUUAAAAAAAUAUAGUAUUCUGCAACGUACGUAGACUGAGUAGCUAAGUGGAAAGAAAGUCAAAUGGUAGAUAUUAAAAUAAGGAAUAUCUUAUGGUUCUCCCAAAAUCCAAAUACGCUUGGCCUUAUCUUCAUUAUGAUUUGAAAGUGUUCGAUUAGCCGCCUCUACCUUUAUUAAAACAAUAUUAUGGCACUUGCCCAUGAUAUCUAUGGUACCAAAAAGCCGCCUUACUUGUAUAUAAACCCUCAGCUCCUAUGAACAAAUCCCAAAGUAAGAGCUAACCAUGAGCUACUUAACCAUUUCCCAAAUCUCCUCCCUCCUCUUCUUUAGCGUCCUUUUCAUUUCCGCUCAUGCAGCGCGCUUUGAAAUCCGCAAUGAGUGCUCCUACACCGUCUGGGCAGCAGCCUCUCCUGGUGGUGGUCGUCGCCUAGACCCUCGGCAAAGUUGGACCAUCGAUGUGCCUGCUGGCACUGCUAUGGCUCGUAUUUGGGGUCGAACCAAUUGCAAUUUCGAUGCCAGUGGUAGGGGUCAUUGCCAAACCGGUGAUUGUGGUGGACUCCUUCAAUGCAAAGGUUGGGGUGUACCUCCAAACACCCUGGCUGAAUAUGCACUUAACCAAUUUGGAAACAUGGAUUUCUACGACAUUUCCUUAGUUGAUGGGUUUAACAUCCCCAUGGUGUUUGGUCCAACUAAUGGCGGUUGUCACAACAUUCGGUGCACUGCAGACAUCAACGGACAAUGCCCGAAUGAGUUAAGAGCUCCCGGUGGGUGCAAUAACCCAUGCACGGUAUUUAAGACCAAUGAAUAUUGUUGCACUCAAGGGUACGGAACCUGUGGUCCGACCCGUUAUUCAAGGUUUUUCAAGGACCGGUGCGGUGAUUCAUACAGUUAUCCUCAAGAUGAUCCUUCGAGCACCUUUACUUGCCCUGCUGGUUCCAAUUACAGGGUCGUGUUUUGCCCCAGAGGCUCACCUCAUAUAGAGAUGGUCGGAAGUAAGAGCCAAGAAAAAUAAAGGGAUCAUCUCUUGGU